GGGUUUCAUUACCCGAGAAGAACAUAUGAGCUACAAGCACCUGGUUGGCAAUGUCCCCUUUGUGAGCCUCCUUGUAUGCGUCCUGGCACCAUUGCUGGACGCAGUCGCUGGCCACCUCCGACGGCGGCUCCGCUCACACUCUGGCCAGCCAGCUCCAUUAGGCAUAGCAUAAUACUUGGUGCAGCUAGGUUCCAGAGCUCAAUGGUGCCGACAACCGCUCCGGUCAAUUUACCAUUGCCACCUCCAGCUUACAUAUUCUUCCAUACUAAAAUUUGGACAAUUUGUACCCUAUGAAGAUACAUGGCCAUUUAUCUGCAUGUCCACCUUGUAUAUUGGGGUUAAAAUCAACCAAGUAGAUGGGGCUUCGAGUAAUAUGUAGUGAAGCAAAAAAAUGUAAAUCCAUAAUCUACAACUGCAAGUCUCCAAUAUCUCAUAAAAACAGAUUUCACUUAGCUCAACUCGACAAAUGACUAAGUGAAUAAUCUCAUUAAAAAACUCACUUAGCUCAAUUUGACAAAUGACUAUGUGAUUCUGUUAUGGUUGGUAAUGUCUACAAAAGGAAACCCACACCGUCAGGCUUGUUUCAGCCAGCAUGGCUAUCAUAGGAGGUUAAGUAGGAAAGAUAGUUAUUAUUAGUUAAAAGAUCUACUAGGUGGAUCUGUAGAAGAGUUUCUAUCCGUGUUGAGUCAGGAGUCUGUAACCCGACUAUAAAAGUCCUUUUACGUUAAUGAGAAGAACCAGCCUGGGAUUGUGUCACCUUGACACCCUUGGGCGCCCAGCGUCCCUCUCCUGUGCCCUAAUUCCAGAACACGACGGCUCCCAGCCGCCGCCAACGUUCUCGCUCCAAUCCUCUCUACUCCCCACCCUACAAUCUACGCAGCAAGGCUAGAAGACAUACCAAUCUGGUAUCAGACUUGAUGACGACUUCUGGGGACAUCACCACCACGGUGCCUGCCGCCGCCAUCGGUUCGACGUCGGCGGCCUCCCUGCCGCUGGUGCCCUCCACACGGGUGUUGGGGGCUGGCGCGCCUGCCCAGCCGUCGCCCCCCACCAUGAUGGAGGCCCUCGCUGGGAUCACUUCGGCGAUUCAAAGCCUGGAACUCAAGAUGACCGCCGUCAAUCACCUGCUGUCCGACCAGGGAUCGCGCCUCGCGGCCAUCGACGGCCGCCCCGCUUUCCCACAGUUCGGCCUGCCCGGUUUUGGCGGCAUCCCGCUGCUGACCGACUCAGCAGCACACGUGGCGGCUCCGAGCGCCUCCUCCGCCUCCGCGUCAGAAGCUGCGGGGGAUUCCGCGGUCUCAGCGACCGGGCAGUUGUCCCUGCCGCCCGGCGCACAGCCCCUGCCCCCAACGUCGUCCAUGGGGGUGCCGAUCACACAAAUCCAGUUUCCGCACUCUCCGUCGCCAUUGCCAACGUUCGGUCAGGAGCAGCAGCGGUUGCCACAGCCGGCUACAGCCCACAUGACCAUGCCGCUGCCGUUUACACCGCCGGAGCUGGACAGGAACUUCGUGCCCAAAUACCACAAGCUGACGUUCGCAUCCUAUGACGGCAAAGACGACCCCUUAGGAUGGCUCAACAAGUGUGAGCAAUUCUUCCGCGGACAGAUGACUCGCGAGGAGGACAAAGUGUGGCUGGCCUCCUACCAUCUCACCGGUGUCGCACAACAGUGGUACCUCGUGCUGGAGACAGACCAUCAACACCAAUCAUCUCGCGGAUUUGGCCCGUCUCCCGUUUGGCGGCUCCGUCGACGCCUAUAUGGAGGCGUUCCAGGCCCGGGCCGCACACGCCGGUGAUCUGUCCACACUCCAGAAGGCCAGGCUCUUCACCGGCGGGCUACCGGAACACAUCCGCAUUGACGUGGAGCUCCUGGAACCCCAAGACCUGCAACAUGCCAUGCGCCUGGCUCGGGCAUACGAGCGCCGCAACGCCCCUCAACUCCUUGCACUGCCGGCGCCGCCCGCACGGCCAACGCGCCGAACUGCUGGCGUCCUGGCUGCCUUGCCUGCACCAGCGGGCUCAAGCAGCGCGGGGGCGCAGACUUCAUCAACUGCUGGCACAGCACGCCCCUUCAAGCGCCUCUCACCGGAUGAGAUGACAGAACGCCGCAAGAUGGGGCUCUGUUACAACUGUGAUGAACCCUAUGUCCGGGGGCACAAGUGUGCUCGACUCUUCUGCUUGGAGGCGCAAGACUACAUCGUGGAAGAGCCGGACGAUGCCCCAGACGAACCAACAGCAGGGGCACAACCAGCACCCUUUGAUCCAGAGACGCCCAUGAUUUCGUUAACGACGAUCACGGGGAUACGCGCUGAAGAAACCAUGCAGCUGCGCGUCCGGUGCGGCGGCCACGAGUUUACAGCGCUGCUGGACUCCGGUUCAACCCACAAUUUCAUCAGUGGAUCAGCAGCCACCCGCGCCAACCUGCAGUUUCUGGACAGCGGCGGUGCCCAUGUGGUGGUCGCCAAUGGAGAUCGCGUCGCUUGCCGUGGUCUCGCGCGCGCAGUUUCUCUCGACAUUGGGGAGGAGCGCUUUGCCAUCGACUGCUACUCUAUCCCCCUGGAAGCAUAUGACAUGGUGCUCGGCAUCGCUUGGCUCCGUACUCUCGGCCCCAUCCUCUGGGAUUUUGAGAGCCGCAGCAUGGAGUUCCACCGUCACAGCCGCCGGGUGAGGUGGUCCGGCAUCACUGCGUCAUGUCCAGCCCCGCCCCUGGAUGGUCGGCUGCACGCCAGCGCCGUGGCCACUGCCAAGGGAUCGGAGCCCGCCCUGCUGGAGCACCUCCUGGCAUCAUACGCCGACGUCUUUGCGCCGCCCACAGGUCUGGCACCAGCUCGCUGGUGUGAUCAUCGGAUCCACCUCAAGGUGGGCACGGAUCCCAUCGCCGUCCGACCCUACCGUUAUCCCCAGCCGCAGAAGGAUGAGCUGGAGCGCCAAUGCGAGGAGAUGCUACGCCAAGGCACCAUCCGCGCCAGCACAUCGCCCUUCUCCGCACCGGUCUUACUCGUCAAGAAGGCUGAUAACUCAUGGCGCUUUUGUGUCGAUUAUAGAGCUCUCAAUGCAGCAACAGUCAAGGACAAGUUCCCGAUACCCGUCGUCGAGGAGCUGCUGGAUGAGCUCCAUGGGGCUAAAUUCUUCACGAAGCUUGAUCUGCGCUCGGGUUACCAUCAAGUUCGCGUGCACACGGAUGACGUUCCCAAGACGGCGUUUCGCACUCACCAGGGUCACUUCGAAUUCUUGGUGAUGCCUUUUGGUUUGUCUAAUGCGCUUUCGACAUUUCAAGCUCUUAUGAAUCUGGUGCUCAAGCCGUUCCUCCGCCGUUGUGUUUUGGUGUUCUUCGACGACAUCCUAGUCUACAGUUCGUCCUGGACAGCGCACUUGAUACAUCUUCGCGCUGUCCUCAACGUACUGCGGGGCCACCAUCUACACCUGAAGCAGUCCAAGUGCUCCUUCGCAACGGCUUCCGUACAGUACCUCGGCCACAUCAUCUCACACGCAGGUGUGGCCAUGGACGACUCCAAGGUGGCAGCGGUCCAAUCAUGGCUGCAGCCGUGUUCUGCGCGCGGCCUUCGCGGUUUCCUCGGCCUUGCCGGCUACUAUCGGCGCUUCAUCAAGGACUACGGCACCAUCGCCGCGCCCUUGACCAGCCUGCUUCGGAAGGACUCGUUCCAAUGGUUGGCUGCCGCGGACGCUGCGUUUGCUGCUCUGAAGACAGCACUGUCAGCAGCACCCGUUCUCCACCUCCCCGACUUCGACCGUGACUUCUUCGUCGACUGCGACGCCUCGGGGUCUGGUUUCGGGGCUGUACUACAUCAAGGUGACGGCCUGAUCGCGUUCUUCAGCCGGCCGUUCGCAGCGCGUCACCUCAAAGUCGCCGCUUAUGAACGGGAACUCAUUGGUCUGGUACAAGCCGUUCGCCAUUGGCGACCCUACCUUUGGGGCCGCUCCUUCGUCGUCCGCACCGACCACUACGCCUUGAAGUUCCUGCUCGAUCAACGCCUGUCUACGAUACCCCAGCAUCACUGGAUCAGUAAGUUAAUGGGCUAUGAUUUCAGGGUGGAAUUCAGACCAGGGCGCUUCAAUGUGGUGGCCGAUGCUCUCUCUAGGCGUGAUGGUGAUGCACCGCUGCUGGUCGGGCUGCAGCCCCCGGAGCAGGUCUUGGCCGUCAUCUCUGCUCCCACGUUCCACCUCUUCGAGGAGCUGCGGCGCGAGUUGCAGGACACGGAGGAGUUGCGCGUGCUGCGUGACGCCAUCGCUGCAGGCGACCGCGGCGCUGAUUGGACUGUGCAAGAUGGCCUCAUUCUCUGCAAAGGGCGUGUCUAUGUCCCUGCGGUGUCCACAGUGCUCGAUGCUGUGCUGCAGCUAGCCCAUACAGGGGCGCAUGAAGGUAUCCAGAAGACGCUGCAGCGCCUUCGGACUGAGUUCGCCAUCGACCAUGAUCGCCGCGUCGUCCACGACUACGUUCGCGCCUGCGCAACUUGUCAGCGCAACAAGAUAGAGGCCUUGCAUCCAGCCGGCCUGCUACAGCCACUGCCGGUGCCAUCUCGCGUUUGGGCUGAUAUUUCCAUGGAUUUCAUCGAGGCGCUUCCCAAAGUUCAUGGCAAGAGCGUCAUCCUUACUGUGGUCGACCGAUUCUCCAAGUUUGCUCAUUUCAUUCCUCUGGGUCACCCGUAUACGGCGUCUUCCGUCGCUCGUGCUUUCUUCCAGGACAUCGUUUGUCUCCAUGGGUUUCCCGAUUCCAUAGUCAGUGAUCGAGAUCCGGUGUUCACCGGUCAUGUGUGGCGGGAUCUCUUUCGUCAGGCGGGUGUCCAACUUCGCAUGAGCACAGCUUUCCACCCUCAAACUGAUGGUCAAUCGGAGGCAGUAAACAAGACCAUCGGCAUGUACCUCCGUUGCCUAACUGGAGAUCGUCCACGAGAUUGGCUUGAUUGGCUACCUUGGGCUGAGUACUGCUAUAACACAGCCUAUCAUUCAGCGUUGCGCACCUCCCCGUUCACGGUGGUCUAUGGUCGGCCUCCUCCAGAGCUGCUGCCUUAUGCUUCAGGGAGUGCACGGACUGAUGUGGUGGACUCCCUGAUGUCCAGCCGGGAUGAAUUUCUCUCCGAGGUGCGUGAUCGCCUUUUGCAGGCUCAGGAGCACGCACGCCGUUUCUAUGACGCCAAGCAUCGGCCCCUGGAAUUUGCAGUAGGUGAUUGGGUACUUCUCCGGCUACUUCGUCACCAUCAGUCGUUGGUUUCAGGCAGCAAAGGCAAACUGGGACCUAAAUAUGCUGGGCCCUUUCUAGUUCUGGAGCGCCUAGGGGAGGUGGCCUAUCGUUUGCAGCUUCCAGAGGGUGCCCGGAUACAUGAUGUCUUUCACGUAGGGGUCCUGAAGCCAUUUCGGGGCGAACCACCUUCAGCGGAUCCCGUCCUGCCUCCUCUUCGUCACGGGCGUCCGCUGCUACAGCCAGCUAAGGUGCUGCGUUCUCGGCUCAACAGGGGCGUAUGGCAGGUUCUUGUUCAGUGGGAUGGCCUACCCUCCUCCGAUGCAACUUGGGAGCCAGUUCCAGAGUUUCGCACAGCUUACCCUGAGUUUCAGCUCGAGGACGAGCUGUUUCCGAAGGACGGGAGAGAUGUUAUGGUUGGUAAUGUCUACAAAAGGAAACCCACAGGUGGCUGAUUGGGUUUAGGAAAGGACUAGGCAGCCGUCAGGCUUGUUUCAGCCAGCAUGGCUAUCAUAGGAGGUUAAGUAGGAAAGAUAGUUAUUAUUAGUUAAAAGAUCUACUAGGUGGAUCUGUAGAAGAGUUUCUAUCCGUGUUGAGUCAGGAGUCUGUAACCUGGACUAUAAAAGUCCUUUUACGUUAAUGAGAAGAACCAGCCUGGGAUUGUGUCACCUUGACACCCUUGGGCGCCCAGCGUCCCUCUCCUGUGCCCUAAUUCCAGAACACGACGGCUCCCAGCCGCCGCCAACGUUCUCGCUCCAAUCCUCUCUACUCCCCACCCUACAAUCUACGCAGCAAGGCUAGAAGACAUACCAGAUUCCAAUUUCAAAUGCAGCUUAUGAUAGAACUUUUCUUACCUGGAUAGUAGCUUUCAAACCAUAAGCUAUGACAACAACAAUGAUAUUUGCAUUUGCAGCCCAUUUAAGAUUCCAGGCAGGAUGCCCUCCAAGGAUUUUGAAUUGUAUUCCAAAGGUGCUCACCCAGAUAAAACAACAAAAGGCCCUGUGUGCACAAU
This 6206-nucleotide long non-coding RNA is filed under the name Sorghum bicolor (sorghum). Its description in RNAcentral is "long non-coding RNA (SBIC_LNC013417)". Lineage: Eukaryota; Viridiplantae; Streptophyta; Magnoliopsida; Poales; Poaceae. The record is from RNAcentral.